GGGGAUGACAGGCUUCGACGGAGGAGGCUGAUCCCGGGUUGCGAGCCGAGAGGCGCCGACCUCGUAAAAUCAGUGCAAACAACAAGUGCCAAUCGCACUUCCUAUGCUGCUAUGCCCCUCGCUGCAUAAGUGAGGAGUACCAGCGCCUGGCUCCAACUGUGAGCCACGUCUGCCUGCCCCGCUCUCUGACCGGAGGUAGAGCAGGCGUGAUAAAGUCAGAGUGCCGCAUGCGACGCUGCUAAGCGUGCGAAAGAGGGGCUUUCGGGUCCCAGCAGCUGGCUGGUCGUGUCCUUUGCCUGUCGUGGACCGCCCAGCGACAAAAACGUCAGGCUACGCUCGUAGAGACCUGUGGGUCUAAUCUUUCGGACGCGGGUUCGAUUCCCGCCAUCUCCACUG
RNAcentral lists this transfer-messenger RNA (396 nucleotides) under Anaerolineales. Its description in RNAcentral is "f UBA4823 X3 Standard tmRNA". It matches the Rfam family "transfer-messenger RNA". Rfam says of the family: Bacterial tmRNA, also known as 10Sa RNA or SsrA, is named for its dual tRNA and mRNA-like properties. Its role is to liberate the mRNA from a stalled ribosome. The record is from RNAcentral. RNAcentral also lists the same sequence under 1 other name. Lineage: Bacteria; Bacillati; Chloroflexota; Anaerolineae.